This 265-nucleotide ribosomal RNA is filed under the name uncultured archaeon. RNAcentral's name for it is "partial 16S ribosomal RNA". It matches the Rfam family "Archaeal small subunit ribosomal RNA", at positions 719 to 982 of the family's 1478-position model. The record is from RNAcentral.
ACACGACUACAUUAGAUACCCGUGUAGUCCCAGCCCUAAACGAUGCGCGUUAGGUGUAUCGGUGACCACGAGUCACCGAGGUGCCGAAGGGAAACCGUGAAACGUGCCGCCUGGGAAGUACGGUCGCAAGGCUGAAACUUAAAGGAAUUGGCGGGGGAGCACCACAAGAGGUGGAGGCUGCGGUUCAAUUGGACUCAACGCCGGAAAACUCAUCGGGAGCGACAGCAGUAUGAUUGCCAGGUUGAUGACCUUGCUUGACGAGCUG